CCCUUAGAUGUUCUGGGCCGCACGCGUGCUACACUGAGUGGAUCAGCGGGUCAGGUUGCGCGAAAGCGUUUCCUAAUCUUUAAAUCCGCUCGUGAUGGGGAUUGACGGUUGCAAUUUUCUGUCAUGAACGAGGAAUACCUUGUAAGCGCGGGUCAUCAUCCCGCGCUGAAUACGUCCCUGCCCUUUGUACACACCGCCCGUCGCUCCUACCGAUUGAAUGAUCCGGUGAAAUCUUCGGACCGCGAUGUUUACCUGGUUCUCUGGGCUAACGUUGUGGGAAGUUGCUUGAACCUUAUCAUUUAGAGGAAGGAGAAGUCGUAACA
This 323-nucleotide ribosomal RNA is filed under the name uncultured eukaryote. RNAcentral's name for it is "partial 18S ribosomal RNA". It matches the Rfam family "Eukaryotic small subunit ribosomal RNA", at positions 1470 to 1796 of the family's 1831-position model. The record is from RNAcentral.